RNAcentral lists this long non-coding RNA (256 nucleotides) under Lathyrus oleraceus (garden pea). RNAcentral's name for it is "Pisum sativum (pea) long non-coding RNA (PSAT_LNC001524)". Lineage: Eukaryota; Viridiplantae; Streptophyta; Magnoliopsida; Fabales; Fabaceae. The record is from RNAcentral.
CUUCCCAAAUUCUCAAGCAUUCACAACUUCAUUUACCUUUUUCUCAUUGCUCAAUUAUUACACUUUUUCACACAACUUAUUAGCAUGCAAACUUUUUUCUAUUUUUUUUACUUUUCAAUGCUUAUUAUUUUUCUUUUUUUUCUUUCUUUUUUAGGUUUAGGAAUCCCAAUGAUGGUUUGAUACGCUCUAACUGCCAGCUUGGCUAUAAAGCAACUUUCGUCGGGCGAGACCCUGCUUGUCGGGCAAGACAAUAAAU